GACGAACGCUGGCGGCGUGCCUAACACAUGCAAGUCGAGCGAGUGAAUCUCCUUCGGGAGUGAAGCUAGCGGCGGACGGGUGAGUAACACGUGGGCAACCUGCCUCAUAGAGGGGAAUAGCCUUUCGAAAGGAAGAUUAAUACCGCAUAAGAUUGUAGCUUCGCAUGAAGUAGCAAUUAAAGGAGCAAUCCGCUAUGAGAUGGGCCCGCGGCGCAUUAGCUAGUUGGUGAGGUAACGGCUCACCAAGGCGACGAUGCGUAGCCGAGCUGAGAGGGUGAUCGGCCACAUUGGGACUGAGACCCGGACCAGACUCCUACGGGAGGCAGCAGUGGGGAAUAUUGCACAAUGGGGGAAACCCUGAUGCAGCAACGCCGCGUGAGUGAUGACGGCCUUCGGGUUGGAAAGCUCUGUCUUCAGGGACGAUAAUGACGGUACCUGAGGAGGAAGCCACGGCUAACUACGUGCCAGCCGCCGCCGUAA
RNAcentral lists this ribosomal RNA (480 nucleotides) under uncultured bacterium. Its description in RNAcentral is "partial 16S ribosomal RNA". It matches the Rfam family "Bacterial small subunit ribosomal RNA", at positions 28 to 523 of the family's 1533-position model. The record is from RNAcentral.